RNAcentral lists this unclassified non-coding RNA (183 nucleotides) under uncultured fungus. RNAcentral's name for it is "sequence contains ITS1". Lineage: Eukaryota; Fungi. The record is from RNAcentral.
CAAAUCCAAACAACAAAUACCCGUUGAAAUGUUCUCGGCCUUGGUUGUUGCAUGCGCAUGUAUCUUCGUAUACAUGCAUAUGCAUGCUGUGUAAAAAUGGAAGUGUUGUCACUUCCACCCAAGGUCCGGUAUUUAAAAAACAACGAUACUUAUUAUGGCCAUACUUAAUGUGUGACUACAAAA